Molecule: ribosomal RNA, 203 nt
Filed under: uncultured bacterium
Lineage: Bacteria
Description: partial 16S ribosomal RNA
Rfam family: Bacterial small subunit ribosomal RNA (bases 1-182)
Source: RNAcentral
ACGCUCGACACCUACUGGAGGCAGCAGUGGGGAAUAUUGCACAAUGGGGGAAACCCUGAUGCAGCGACGCCGCGUGGAGGAAGAAGGUCUUCGGAUUGUAAACUCCUGUUGUUGGGGAAAAAGAGGAUGGUACCCAACAAGGAAGUGACGGCUAACUACGUGCCAGCACGCCGGUAGGUAAUCUGAGGCGGGCUGGACAAGGC